Long non-coding RNA from Daphnia carinata, 356 nucleotides. RefSeq lists it as uncharacterized. Lineage: Eukaryota; Metazoa; Arthropoda; Branchiopoda; Diplostraca; Daphniidae. The record is from RefSeq and is a predicted model, not a curated record. The transcript is spliced from 3 exons.
UUGUUCAGGCAAGAAGUGUUUUGUUCUGUCAAAAGCUAGCAACACCUCGUAUUCACUGAGCGAUGGGACCAGUUGUAAAAAGAAGCACACUAGAUUUCUACGCAACCAGCUUAAUGAUUCAAGAGUAAUGUGUGAUGGAACGGGUAAUUGAUUGCUCAGUUGAAAAAGCAGGAAAGGGGAUAAAAUGCAUUACAUCAAGUGAAUCAAGAAAAUGGCAAGAACAUAUACAGACAUGAUGACAAUGGAAGUAGGCAAAAUCUAUUUGAAUCAGAAUGCUAUUUAGUUUGUGAGCCUGUGUUCUGUGAUGUUGAAAAAUUGUAAUUUUUCUUGUUUCUUUUCCUAGUUAUCAAGGAAUG